GAGUGCGUGGUUCGGGAGAGCGCUUGCAUGGCAUGCAAGAGGUCAGCGGUUCGAUCCCGCUAUUCUCC
Molecule: transfer RNA, 68 nt
Filed under: Faecalibacterium prausnitzii
Lineage: Bacteria; Bacillati; Bacillota; Clostridia; Eubacteriales; Oscillospiraceae
Description: tRNA-Ala(ggc)
Source: RNAcentral